AGAGUUUGAUCCUGGCUCAGGAUGAACGCUGGCGGCGUGCUUAAUACAUGCAAGUCGAACGAAGAUAAUAGCAAUAUUGUCUUAGUGGCGAACGGGUGAGUAACGCGUUGGUGACCUGCCCCGAAGAGAGGGAUAACAGUUCGAAAGGACUGCUAAUACCUCAUGUGGUCAAAGAGGUUAGAGUCUCUUUGUCUAAAGGGAGUAAUUCGCUUCGGGAGGGGCCUGCGUCCCAUCAGCUAGUUGGUAAGGUAAUGGCCUACCAAGGCGAUGACGGGUAGGGGACCUGAGAGGGUGGCCCCCCACAAUGGAACUGAAACACGGUCCAUACACCUACGGGUGGCAGCAGUAGGGAAUAUUGGUUAAUGUGGGAAACCGCGAACCAGCAACGCCGCGUGUGCGAUGAAGGCCUUCGGGUUGUAAAGCACUUUUAGAGAGGAUGAGGAAGGACAGUACUCUCUGAAUAAGCCUCGGCUAACUACGUGCCAGCAGCCGCGGUA
Molecule: ribosomal RNA, 497 nt
Filed under: uncultured bacterium
Lineage: Bacteria
Description: bacterial SSU rRNA
Rfam family: Bacterial small subunit ribosomal RNA
Source: RNAcentral